UUUCUGCACCAUUCUCCCAUGCAGCUCCUUAAUUAUUUGAGCAGACCCUUGAAACAAUCUCUUUACAUCGUCCUUAGUGACACAGAAGGAGGCUUCUGACACACAUGCAUACAAAGCUGUGGAUGUAAGACUUUAUAUGGAAAAUUUUUAUUCCUGUAGAGAAAGGGAACAGACUACACAGAUAAAAGAGCUAUUAUAUUCCCACAUUAGAAGGACCUCUUGCCUGGUGGAUUUCUAAGCCAAGCUAAUUAAAACAUCAUAAAAAAGGCACACCAACCAAACUCUUAUAUUUGUAUGAUUGUGUCCAGAAUAAAGAUUUGCACCAAGUCAACCAUAUCUGUUUCGAAACUGCGUGCAGAGCAGCUUUCCUUGUGAAGCAUUGAGCCCGUCUAAUAUGUAACAAUUGACAAAUAUAUUAUAAUGUUCUUCCUGUCUCUUGACUUGAUAACAUCUAAAUGAAUCCUAACACAGACACAGAUCUUUACUUCAAUCCCAACCAUGCCCUACUGCUCCCAUCACAGCUCAAUUGCACAGGGUGCUCACAGUGGUGGUUUAGUCAUACUCAGCAGAAAAACCACCAAUGAUGACCAACAUAAAAGGCAAAGUAUUCUGAGAUGGAGACGUUUGCCCUGGAAAAUAAGGAAGCCCUUAGCUGAUCCAGAAACUCAAGAAUUCCACAGUUGCGUGCCUAAUGCUACAGCCACUGAUCUCACAGAGCAGUGCCCCCACUGAAGCAACGCAUUUUUCUGGAUCCUCUAAGAAAUACCUCACUUAUCAAUGGUGAAACAAGGAAAAGGAUUUGCUUCUCUCUGGUCCACCAGGUUGCAUCCCAUAGUUUUGCAGUCAAGACUGCUGCAGUCAAAGGCAUCGCUCUGCUGACAGCAAGCCCUGUUGGGUUCAUCUUUGCACCUUGUGGAGACCAGGUGUUUAGCUGCUGAAAUCUCUUUGGAGAAAAGCAACUCACCGCCAUCUCUUUCACAAAUUAGAAACCUGAAGAUGGAUUGUGGUUUCUUACUUAGACAAUUUUGGAUGAAUCUAGAAAGGAGAGGCGGAUUAGCUGGAUGUCUAAAUAAAAUCAAUGAGAU
RNAcentral lists this long non-coding RNA (1085 nucleotides) under Gallus gallus (chicken). Its description in RNAcentral is "lncRNA (ENSGALG00010015678.1)". The record is from RNAcentral. Lineage: Eukaryota; Metazoa; Chordata; Aves; Galliformes; Phasianidae.